This 392-nucleotide ribosomal RNA is filed under the name uncultured Bacteroidota bacterium. Its description in RNAcentral is "bacterial SSU rRNA". It matches the Rfam family "Bacterial small subunit ribosomal RNA", at positions 568 to 957 of the family's 1533-position model. The record is from RNAcentral. Lineage: Bacteria; Pseudomonadati; Bacteroidota.
UCCGUAGGCGGUUUUUUAAGUCAGAGGUGAAAUCCUGCAGCUCAACUGUAGAAUUGCCUUUGAAACUGAGAGACUUGAGUUAUUGUGAAGUGGUUAGAAUGUGUGGUGUAGCGGUGAAAUGCAUAGAUAUCACACAGAAUACCAAUUGCGAAGGCAGAUCACUAACAAUAUACUGACGCUCAGGGACGAAAGCGUGGGUAGCGAACAGGAUUAGAUACCCUGGUAGUCCACGCCGUAAACGAUGGAUACUAGCUGUAUGUCUACUUCAGGUGGAUGUGUGGCCAAGCGAAAGUGAUAAGUAUCCCACCUGGGGAGUACGAUCGCAAGAUUGAAACUCAAAGGAAUUGACGGGGGCCCGCACAAGCGGUGGAGCAUGUGGUUUAAUUCGAUGA